GACGAACGCUGGCGGCGUGCUUAACACAUGCAAGUCGUACGGUAAGGCCCUUUCGGGGGUACACGAGUGGCGAACGGGUGAGUAACACGUGAGUAACCUGCCCACAACUUUGGGAUAACGCUAGGAAACUGGUGCUAAUACUGGAUAUGUGCUCCUGCUGCAUGGUGGGGGUUGGAAAGCUCCGGCGGUUGUGGAUGGACUCGCGGCCUAUCGGCUUGUUGGUGGGGUAGUGGCCUACCAAGGCGGCGACGGGUAGCCGGCCUGAGAGGGUGACAGGCCACACAGGGACUGAGAUGCGGCCCAGGCGGCGACGGGAGGAAGAAGGGCGGAAUCUUGCACCAUGGGCGCCGGGUUGAUGCAGCAACGCGGCGGGCGGGAUGACGGCCUUGGGGUUGAAGACCGCUAUCAGCAGGGACGACGCUUUUUCUGACGGUACCUGAAGAAGAAGCACCGGCUAACUACGUG
This 465-nucleotide ribosomal RNA is filed under the name uncultured bacterium. Its description in RNAcentral is "partial 16S ribosomal RNA". It matches the Rfam family "Bacterial small subunit ribosomal RNA", at positions 28 to 507 of the family's 1533-position model. The record is from RNAcentral.